AACAAAAAACAGAUGAGAAAGUAGAUGAAUCGGGACCUCCCGCCCCUUCCAAACCCAGGAGAGGACGUCGACCCAAGUCUGAAUCUCAGGGCAAUGCUACCAAAAAUGAUGAUCUAAAUAAACCUAUUAACAAGGGAAGGAAGAGAGCUGCAGUGGGUCAGGAGAGCCCUGGGGGUUUGGAAGCAGGUAAUGCCAAAGCACCCAAACUGCAAGAUUUAGCCAAAAAGGCAGCACCAGCAGAAAGACAAAUUGACUUACAAAGGUAAAAAUGCAUUUGCAAAGGGAGAAAAUGAAGGCCAAACAGAAGCAGGCUCCAGCUUCUGCAAAAACUUGGAUUCACAAAUGUCCCUGAACAGAAAAUGAAGCUCACUUCAGAACACACACUCUCUGCCUUGAAAACUAAAGAGACUAUUACUUCCUUUUCACAUGACCACAAGUCCUCUGAUGGAAAUGUACAGCAGAAACUCUUGAGAGAGAGGCUAAAAGCAACUCUGUUCUCCCCCUUCCCCUAGACUUUUCUUACGAAAAGUCAAUAAUUAAGCAAAUUGCUUAACACUUGGUUCCAGUUCCUGCCUAUCUGGAGUUUAAAUGCGUAAUACACCAUUAAUUUCCACGCUGCAGUUUUUAUUUUAAAGAAAGUAACAAGAUGUCUUUACACUGACACUGAAAAUUCAUCCAUUUUAGAGCCAGGAAUUCCCAUGUUACACAGGAAAAAAUAGAAGUCUACUGAAUUAAUUUUUUAAAAGAAAAGAGAUCAGAUUAAAUAUUUCUUUGUUUUUCCUUUUGGAAACUUUUAUGUAUAAUUCUUUCUGCCUGCCUACUUUUCUGCAAAAAUGAGAUGUACAGAUUUCGGUUCCCUGCUAUGAAAAGUGAUGUGGUAGCAAUUUUAUAAAUGUUGCUUUCUGAUUUUUAUCAGAGUGAGAAAAUUAAAAUUAUUGAUUUGCAAGUAGUAAACAGUUCAUAUUUUGAUUUCCCCUCAUUUUAGUUUAAUAUAAUUUGCAAUAAAUGUACAUAUUGUUGUUUGUUUCAUAAAGCAUAUCACUUUAAAAUGGUUUUUACUCCUGUGAUUAUGUUGGAAUAUUUGGAAUUUUAAAGGAGUAAAGACUGUCCAGCAUUUGGUUUUAUAAUGUUUGUCACCAGAUUUUUAUUAAUGUAAAAAAAAUCAAUUUUUAAAAAAUAGUUGGACUUUGGCAGCUUUUAAGGAAAGUUGGAGGUGUUUUAGGAUUGCUAUCAAUUUUCAGCAUUGUGCUAUUUGGAAAUAAGUGUUUUGCUUUUGUCUGAUGGUCUGGGCUCAUUUUUAUGUUUAUUUUAGAAAACUGUUGCAUCAAUAUAUUAUGUUUCUUGGCAUUGUUCAGCAUAGGUAAUGUGUGCACUUUAUGUGUACACAUAAUCAUAUUUAAGUUUUUUGCAUAAAAUAAAUGCUUCUAGAUGUC
Molecule: long non-coding RNA, 1433 nt
Filed under: Homo sapiens (human)
Lineage: Eukaryota; Metazoa; Chordata; Mammalia; Primates; Hominidae
Description: long non-coding RNA NONHSAT199894.1
Source: RNAcentral